UCCCCAAGAGUUUCUCACUCUCACUCUAUAUUUUUCUACCACCCGUUCUCAUCCGAAUGCACUCUCAAUAUAAGGUCACUCACACUCAUAUUUUAUUCCCAACAUCAUGAUGUCUUGAAUAAUCAUUAAAGAAAAAGCACUACCUUUUCUCUUUUCUUACAAUGAUGAUGUCUUUACUCAUGAUUAUGUCUUUACAUGAUGAUGUCCACUUCUUUGUUUAGUUUACAAGCCGAAAGGCAUUUGGAUUGUGGUAGUCACCAUGUCUUCAAUUGUUGUCAACACAUGACUCAUAAUUACUCACAAAUGUAUGAGCCAAACACAACAGUUAACUCAUGAAAGCGUCUAAGGGCUUAUGUGGGUGUUGAUGAAGGAGAUGCAUGCGCCUAAUAUCUGAGUAAUUUCCUCUUAUUUGAAUGAGCCUAUAUUAUCAGUCUUCUUUUGAUCCAAUAUUAGUUCUCUCGUUUUCAAUAUUUUGUACUUCAAGCUUAAGAUAUAAGUUGGAAUUGUCAUAUCUAAUCAGAACAGGCAUUUUAGUAGGUUUGCAGCUCCUGCAAUUUGAGAGGAGACUGAGAGAACAUACGUGAAGGCACGGGAAGAUGGUGGCCGCACUGUGGAUGUCAUGCGUUUCUUGUUAACGUAUGGGCUUGAUCCCGUUAUUGGUACAGUGGAGAACAAGCCAUGUCUAAAUAAAAUGGUCAAAGAAUCAGUGAGACGGCUACUCAAACAGAUGGUAGAGUUUGAGUACAGCACUGAGAACAUUGACUCCAAUCCCCCAAAGUGUACAACUACAAGGAUAAAGAGGGUCGCUUUGGUGUCAGACCAUUCAAUUCCACAAGAAAAAGGCCAAAUAAGUUCCAAUGAAGCCAGCCGACUGGCUUGGCCCCAUGUAAUUUGACAGCUUGAUCGUGCAGUUUAUGAUUAUUGAAUCUUGAUUAGUUGUUUUAUCCUCAAUAAUAUUUUUUUUCAGCGGAUGCAACUUCCUUAACUUUGCUAGAAAUAUCAAGGGCCUUCGUUGUGAUGAUAUUUUCCAAGAAGGACUGACACGACUAAGAGAGGAUCAAUAACAUCUUCCGUUGAAGAAGGGGGACUGGAUAUGUGACAAUUAAUGGAUGCUAAAAUCUUAACAUUCUUCUGUAAUUCCAUUUCUUAUUGAGAUUUAGAGAGUAAAUGUCUUUUCAGAUGUAGAUGCUUGCAAUGCAAAGAGAAGACUCCAAACCGGCAGAUAAAUCCCUGCAAGUUCUACUUUAAGAGAAACAUGGUGUGCUUAGAAUGCGAUCAUAAAAGGCCAAAGGCAGCACAUUCUUCGGAGAUUUCUGCUGAACCUGUAUGUGAUGACGGAGGCUACCUUAAGAAGUUGAAGAGUUUGAAUUCUACUAAGAAGAUGACGCCUGCAAUCGUUCGAACUCAUGGAAUGAGGCUUCUGGGUUAGUAGGCUUUUCCCGUCUCAGGAGGUAAGACGGAACUGUCUCAGAAUCCACAAAAAAGGGACUUUGUGGAAGUUGAAGAUGUUAGAGAGGAGCAAAGGCGCCUUGACGCAUAAGGCAAACAAUAACGAAUCUAGGUAUGUCAAAAUUUCAAAAAGAUUGGAGCUUUCUGAUUCAACCGACGAUGAAGAGAUGUCAGAGUGGUUUGGGGGUGGAGGAAACCAGGAUUAAACACCAAGGAAAUCUGGAUAAUAAAAUAUCAAGUUUGGUUUGAAAUCUGUGUAGGUCAGAAAUCGUUUGGAUUCGAUUAGAACCCACAUUGUUUUCAUUUGGAAGCUUUAGUCAUUGAUGUUUGUACAGCUCAAAGUGAUUUAGCAAAGAUUUGUCAUUAGUUCCUUUA
Malus domestica (apple) is the source of this 1824-nucleotide non-coding RNA. The record is from RefSeq and is a predicted model, not a curated record. Lineage: Eukaryota; Viridiplantae; Streptophyta; Magnoliopsida; Rosales; Rosaceae.